Molecule: ribosomal RNA, 490 nt
Filed under: uncultured bacterium
Lineage: Bacteria
Description: partial 16S ribosomal RNA
Rfam family: Bacterial small subunit ribosomal RNA
Source: RNAcentral
AUUGAACGCUGGCGGCAGGCCUAACACAUGCAAGUCGAACGGUAACAGGAAGAAGCUUGCUUCUUUGCUGUCGAGUGGCGGACGGGUGAGUAAUGUCUGGGAAACUGCCUGAUGGAGGGGGAUAACUACUGGAAACGGUAGCUAAUACCGCAUAACGUCGCAAGCCCAAAGAGGGGGACCUUCGGGCCUCUUGCCAUCGGAUGUGCCCAGAUGGGAUUAGCUAGUAGGUGGGGUAACGGCUCACCUAGGCGACGAUCCGUAGCUGGUCUGAGAGGAUGACCAGCCACACUGGAACUGAGACACGGUCCAGACUCCUACGGGAGGCAGCAGUGGGGAAUAUUGCACAAUGGGCGCAAGCCUGAUGCAGCCAUGCCGCGUGUAUGAAGAAGGCCUUCGGGUUGUAAAGUACUUUCAGCGGGGAGGAAGGGAGUAAAGUUAAUACCUUUGCUCAUUGACGUUACCCGCAGAAGAAGCACCGGCUAACUCCGUG